RNAcentral lists this ribosomal RNA (869 nucleotides) under uncultured archaeon. Its description in RNAcentral is "bacterial SSU rRNA". It matches the Rfam family "Archaeal small subunit ribosomal RNA", at positions 1 to 878 of the family's 1478-position model. The record is from RNAcentral.
UUCCGUUUGAUCCUGCCGGACCUGACUGCUAUCGGAUUGGUACUAAGCCAUGCGAGUCGUUGUAGCAAUACAAGGCGGACGGCUCAGUAACACGUAGUCAACCUAACCUAUGGACGUGGAUAACCUCGGGAAACUGAGAAUAAACCGCGAUAGAUCAUUAUGCCUGGAAUGGCUUAUGGUUCAAACAAUUUAUUGCCGUAGGAUGGGACUGCGGCCUAUCAGCUUGUUGGUGAGGUAAUGGCCCACCAAGGCUAUAACAGGUACGGGCUCUGAGAGGAGAAGCCCGGAGAUGGGUACUGAGACACGGACCCAGGCCCUAUGGGGCGCAGCAGGCGAGAAACCUUAGCAAUGUGCGAAAGCACGACUAGGUUAAUCCGAGUGAUUUCUGUUGAAGAAAUCUUUUGUCAGUCAUAAAACCACAGACGAAUAAGGGGUGGGCAAGUCUGGUGUCAGCCGCCGCGGUAAUACCAGCACCUCGAGUGGUCAGGAGGUUUAUUGGGCCUAAAGCAUCCGUAGCCGGCUACGCAAGUCUCCGGUUAAAUCCAGCUGCUCAACAGAUGGGCUGCCGGAGAUACUACAUAGCUAGGGAGCGGGAGAGGCAGACGGUAUUCUGUGGGUAGGGGUAAAAUCCUUUGAUCCAUAGAGGACCACCAGUGGCGAAGGCGGUCUGCCAGAACGCGUUCGACGGUGAGGGAUGAAAGCUGGGGGAGCAAACCGGAUUAGAUACCCGGGUAGUCCCAGCUGUAAACGAUGCAAACUCGGUGAUGCAUUGGCUUAUGGCCAAUGCAGUGCCGCAGGGAAGCCGUUAAGUUUGCCGCCUGGGAAGUACGGACGCAAGUCUGAAACUUAAAGGAAUUGGCGGGGGAGCA